Molecule: ribosomal RNA, 505 nt
Filed under: uncultured bacterium
Lineage: Bacteria
Description: partial 16S ribosomal RNA
Rfam family: Bacterial small subunit ribosomal RNA
Source: RNAcentral
GACGAACGCUGGCGGCGUGCCUAAUACAUGCAAGUCGAACGCACAGUUUAUACCGUAGCUUGCUACACCAUAGACUGUGAGUUGCGAACGGGUGAGUAACGCGUAGGUAACCUGCCUGGUAGCGGGGGAUAACUAUUGGAAACGAUAGCUAAUACCGCAUAAUAUUAAUUAUUGCAUGGUAAUUAAUUGAAAGGUGCAAUUGCACCACUACCAGAUGGACCUGCGUUGUAUUAGCUAGUAGGUGAGGUAACGGCUCACCUAGGCGACGAUACAUAGCCGACCUGAGAGGGUGAUCGGCCACACUGGGACUGAGACACGGCCCAGACUCCUACGGGAGGCAGCAGUAGGGAAUCUUCGGCAAUGGACGAAAGUCUGACCGAGCAACGCCGCGUGAGUGAAGAAGGUUUUCGGAUCGUAAAGCUCUGUUGUAAGAGAAGAACGGGUGUGAGAGUGGAAAGUUCACACUGUGACGGUAUCUUACCAGAAAGGGACGGCUAACUACGUG